GAACGGGUGAGUAACACGUAAAGAACCUGCCUCAUAGACUGGGACAACUAUUGGAAACGAUAGCUAAUACCGGAUAACAGCAUUAACUGCAUGGUUGAUGUUUAAAAGUUGGUUUUGCUAACACUAUGGGAUGGCUUUGCGGUGCAUUAGCUAGUUGGUGGGGUAAAGGCCUACCAAGGCGACGAUGCAUAGCCGACCUGAGAGGGUGAUCGGCCACACUGGGACUGAGACACGGCCCAGACUCCUACGGGAGGCAGCAGUAGGGAAUCUUCCGCAAUGGGCGAAAGCCUGACGGAGCAACGCCGCGUGAGUGGAGAAGGAUUUCGGUUCGUAAAGCUCUGUUGUUAGGGA
This 351-nucleotide ribosomal RNA is filed under the name Gemella haemolysans. RNAcentral's name for it is "bacterial SSU rRNA". It matches the Rfam family "Bacterial small subunit ribosomal RNA", at positions 100 to 445 of the family's 1533-position model. Lineage: Bacteria; Bacillati; Bacillota; Bacilli; Caryophanales; Gemellaceae. The record is from RNAcentral.